UUUUUUUGUUUUUUGUUUUGUGUUUUGUUUUUCCCCCACUUCUGGACCCGGAAGCCUGGUGAGUCUGAUCCCACUUCCACACUUCUUCCACACUGCCCUUGGCCUCUUGCAUUAGGGGCCCACUCCAUGCCUGGCAUGGGCUCUGUUCCCACCGUGGCGGGAACAGCUCAUUUUAGCCAGGCUUAUGUGAAAUGCUUUCACAUCUGCUGCUGCAUUUGGUGUGGGCAGAAGAGAAGGGGGUCACUCACGCGGGGCAAGUGGCUGUCAGGGGCCCCCACCACCCAAAGGCAGAGCCAGCACCGGUACCUGGAGUCUCUCUCCUUGUCCAGGGCUUUUGUGCCUUACCAGCUGGCAACCAUACCCAAUACAGCAGCCCUCUCCCAUACACAGCAUCAUUACUCUCAUUUUAUCAGAUUAAGAUUCGGAGGCUCAGAGAGGUUCCGUGAUAUGCCCAAGUCACACAGCUAGGAGAAGGCUGAGUCAAGGGUAAAUCCCUGGUCUCCUGGAUCUCAGUAUUACUGAGGUGAAAGAAGUACCGGCUAUCCGACUUAACCACUUUUUCUUCCUAGUAAAACAACUCUCCCAAUCCCUGAAAGAGAAGCUACAAAAAGGUUUGUAGAAUUUUGCCAAGCAUGAGUUUGCCGGUCAGAAUUCUGUAAUAGGCCCAUAAUCAUUUCAGACAUUGAAGUGCUUAGGAGGUAGACAUUCUGUGUACGGUGCCAGUUUAAAUUCUUAUUUUGCUUAACUGUAAAGAUCCUUUAAAAAGAAGCCCUGAGACAUACUUUUGCUUUAUUAAGCCCUCCACUUUCUGACAUGUCUUACUGUGUUUUAGAAAAAUUCAAAACAACAACACUUAAAAGCCCUCCCCCUCCCAAAUAUUUUCUUUCAUUUCCAAGAUACGGAGAUGCUGACAUGUGGGCGUGAAGCCUGGAGUAAGGCUUUGGUGUCUGACCUCCUCCAAAAAAGAAAAUGAAGACAUUUCUGGGUGUCCACACUUUCCCCAGGAAAGGACAGACCCGACAGUCUUGAACCCAGAUGAAAAGAAAGGUAAUUCAUUUCAAGCCUAAGAAACCGUCUUGGUGAUGGGGCAUGUUCUGGGACAAUUGAUUCCAUUUGUCAUUGGAAGUUUCAGAAAGGGUGAAAAUACUCUCUUUUUCUGCUCCCUGUUUUGGACACAGGAAAAAUAAGGCAGCAUUUGUUUCUUCCUUUAAAAUAAAAACAGCAGGGGCAGCCCUGGUGGCACAGCAGUUUAGCCGCCUGCAGCCCAGGGUGUGAUCCUGGAGACCCUGGAUUAAGUCCCGCGUCGGGCUCCCUGCAUGGAGCCUGCUUCUCCCUCUGCCUCUCUCUCUCUCUCUGUGUGUGUCUCUCAUAAAUAAAUAAAAUCUUAAAAUAAAAUAAAAUAAAAUAAAAUAAAAUAAAAUAAAAUAAAAUAAAAACAACAAGGGAUGCCUGGGUGGCUCAGCAGUUGAGCAUCUGCCUUUGGCUCAGGGCGUGAUCCCAGAAUCCAGGAUCAACUGAAGGCAGAUGCUCAACCCCUGAGCCACCCAAGUGCCCCCAACGUUUUCUAUAUGCAGAGAUAUGGAAAGGGCAAAGAUGAUAUUGCAGGGCCUGAAAUGAAACAGCAUGAAGAGGGGGCCCCUGUCAGACUGAGAGCCCCUGAGGAAGAACACAUGUAAAGGAAACUUGUGCCCUCAGAGUGCCUCCCCUGUGCCAGGCCCGUGCCAGCAUGUGUCCCACUCACGAUGCACAGCAGCCCAACCGAGCAGGUACUAUAGUUACUUCUGUUUCAUGGAAGAGAAGCCCAUGUGAGAGAUGUCGCCCUGCAGCUCUCCUGCUGGGUGAUCGUCCCCCUCCCCUCGGCCACCCAGUGCAGCAUCUGUGAGACAGUGAGAGCCCAGCUGCGAAAUCCCUCUCUGAGGGGAUCCUGCUUCCCUUGGCAUCUCCCACCACCUCAGCGACUCAGCAUCUAGUUAUCGACAAGGGGGAGGCAGCAGCCAGUGCAUUAAUCUCUGAGCCAGGUGUGCUCAGGGCCAAACACGAAUGGCAUGUCACCAGACUGAAAUAUAAGUUACUUCAAUUGUGCCUCACAUCCGCAGUGACGGGGAGGUGAGACAGGACCUCCUUCCACCCCCAACCCGGCCUGAGCUCUCAUGGCCUCUACCAGACAGUCGGUCCCCCUUGGGCUCACCAAGAAACAGCAGGCAGGAUGCAGACUCGUGAUCAUGUCACCAACCCUGCCUACUUGAAGGAACAGCCAAAGGGCACUGGGAUGGGACAAUCAGCCCAUCUGUACCAAAGAGCAAACGUCUUGUGGUUAUCAGGCAACGAUUCCAGUGGUAGCGGAUACCAGGUGCCCUCAAGGUGGAAUGGUUUUGGUGGGAAGCUUGGGCCAUUCGCUCCCACUAACUUGGGAGCCAGGUCCUUGCACUUGCAGGCUCACCCACCCCAUACAGUGCUCAAACGUCUCUGUCUGCUCAGCCUCGUGGCCGAUUUUCAGGGAAGCCCUGACUGUCUGACUCUGACUAAUACUACUACUACUAAUGAAAAGACUCUCCACACAUGAAAGAUGCUGGCCCAACUCUGGGGCAAUUUAAAAAAACACUGUUGCUAGUCCCACCUGACAGAUUGCAUCACCAGACCAUUCUCAGCCUCAUCAGGGAUCUCCCUCAGUCUCCUAUGUCCUUUUCCCCCAGCCCAAUGGCGGAGUAGUAGGAGUAGUAGGAGUCGUCAACCCAGCCCAAUGGUGUCAGUGGUCUUCUCUCUCUUGCUACUAGUGGGGCGCAGGGCAGGCAGGUGUUUCUAUAAUACUCUCCAAAGGUAACAUUCAUCUUAGCCCUUUGCACUGUGAAUACUCAACUGCUUCCAUCUUUUGUCCUAUGGUGAGAGCCUGGGGUAGGGUUAAGUAUAACAUGAGCCAGUCUCCUUGAGAAGAAACUCAGUGCUACAAGCACCACCCCUCCCACAUAGCACUGCUCGCUGACUUUUUUCAAUCAAAUGUCACAUUUUUGAUUCCCAUUUAUUCUCACAGCUUGGGCACAGUUGUAUUAAUUUGAUAUCAACAUGUCCCCACGUUGAUUGAAGUGCUGGCAGUGCCGGAGAGAGGUCUGCUUCCUCAUUCUCUCAUUCAGAGAAGGGACCUCCUGGUGCCAGAGUGUGAUCCAUUUAGUAGAGGAGGGAAGGAUUCCCUCCCAGAGCCGUGGACACCUGGGGCAGGCAGUCUGCCUGUGUUUUUCAUAGCAUAUGGCAGAGAAGGAAAGCUGCCAUGCUCUAAUACCACCUGUCCCUUCCCCCUACUCUUUCUCGUUUUCUUUUCAUGUGGGUCAUUUGUAGUCACAGUCCACUGACAAAAGGCAAAGAGCGAUGUCUGGCGGGACCACAGCACAGAGGUUCCUGCCAAUGGCUUCCUGGAGCCUGCUAUCCUGGUUCUUGGAGAUGAAGCUCAGGGCUGGAGUUCUAAAGCCCCAUUUCCAGGAUUAAGUAAUUGAUGCCCCAACAGUAUGGCCUAGAAGAAAGGCCUGUAUUGGUAAUUUCCAAAGGAAAUUUUGACUGGGAACAGUAUUAUCCAUUUAAGAGGCAUUUAGCCAUAUGUGGGGAUGGGGGCGGGGCGGUAUAUUUUUGGUUGUCACCACGACUUCUGACACUUAGUAGGCAAGGUAGGGAUAUUAAACUUCCUGCAUUAUUUAAGUAGGUCACACUUAAUCAAGAAUUGGCCCCAAAUGCCAACAGCUCCAUUGAGAAACACUAUUAAUUCCUAUAGAUGGGAAAAGUGGAAAAGUGAAGCCUGACAAGUUUAAUGACUUAUUCAAAGUCACAAAGAUUUUUUUUUUCUCUCCUGUCUCUCAACUCAGGAAGCUACCAUGGAACGUUUGCCCAAAGCACAGCAGGAAAACGUCAAGAGAUCAUCUCAAUGUUUCAACCCAAUUCCUACUAUGUCAAAGUCUGAGGCCAACAAUAUAUAGAGGCUCCUCAAAAACAUGUAAAGCAGACAAAAAAAGAAUAAUAAAAACAUUAGGAAGCACGAGGACUCUUCUUCUGGUCUUGGUCAAUCAUUGUGGCUGAAGGUCUAUCUUCUUUGGCUCCAAGGCUCCUCCUUGGCUUGUUGGCUCCAAGGAUGGGCAACUCUAUCAUCAUGCACACUCAACCGAAAGACCAAUGACCCCAAAGCCUGGGUUUCUCCAGCUGAAUUUCUGCCUCAGGGCCAUCCUGAUGUUACCGCUCUCUGGAGUCAGGAUGUCAACUGUUUGCCCACUGUCAAGAAGGUCCCUGAGAAUGGGUUGGGGAAGGGUCUUCCAUCUACAUUUAUUUGCCUGAUGCCACCACAUGCUGUUCUGUGAAACUGGUCCAUCACAGAUUUGAUUUCUCAAGACUGGCUAAACCUGAGAGCUGAUGGUUUAGUUGGUGGUUUGUAAGAUCAGAGGUGCCAGUCAAAGAAAGAGAAACCCUUUGGAAACAUGGGCUGUUUGCUCAGAGAUACUCAGAGAUUUUAUGUGAAUCCUCAGCACACCUUCCACUGCCCCUGGGUACAGAGUAUUUGCUGCCCGCAAAGGUCUCCAAGGCCUGCUCAGGACCCCGAAAUCCCUCCAAGUUCUUACUGGGAGAAGACAGAUGGCUGGACCUCUGGUCCCUGGUCUUGCACUGAUGUCUGCUUGGGGGUCGGGCCUCACUCCUGCUCCAGGCACAGUGAGGAAGAGCAGUAGCAUACUUCCUUGUAAUUUCUCUGCAGCUCCAAUGCAGCUGCCGAUGCAAUAGGGCAGUCAGUGAAUCUGCGGCAGUAGUGCUCAGCACUUGUUUCAGAGUGAAGAGGUGAGAUUUUCUCAUCAAUUUAAUCUCAGUAAUGAUGAGAAACUUCCCUCAGGCUCCAGCCCUGCCCUGCCAUGCCCUACCCUCCCUGCUGAUGUCGGCAGCUGGGGCCCCCUUCCUGGCCACGACACAGAUUUCUACAUGGAGGAGAAGAGGAGUGUUGAGCCUCCC
This 4971-nucleotide long non-coding RNA is filed under the name Canis lupus familiaris (dog). Its description in RNAcentral is "lncRNA (ENSCAFG00000050364.1)". The record is from RNAcentral. Lineage: Eukaryota; Metazoa; Chordata; Mammalia; Carnivora; Canidae.